RNAcentral lists this long non-coding RNA (853 nucleotides) under Elaeis guineensis (African oil palm). RNAcentral describes it as "long non-coding RNA (EGUI_LNC001398)". Lineage: Eukaryota; Viridiplantae; Streptophyta; Magnoliopsida; Arecales; Arecaceae. The record is from RNAcentral.
GCCUCCUCUUCCUCUCUCUCUUUAUUUAUUUUUUAAUUCCCACAACUCCUCAUUGAUAUCUAUCAACACAAGCUGUCGAAUCAGACCUAGAACUACUAGUAUUGACCCAUUUUGACCACUAUGCAAAUUUUUUGUCGGAUUGGCCAAAACACGGACUCAAUAGUAAUCAAUAUUGGUGGAUGUCCUCUUGUUUCAGCUAGGAUGACCACUAUCUUUUGUUUUGGCAACUCAAAUUAUGUCUUGGUCUUACAUUCUUGUUGGAAAGGUAAGAUGCCAAUCAUACUAUCCUAUUUUGACAGUUUUUGAAACCAUGUAUACAUAUAGUGGAGACUCUUGGAGCUGGGCAUGUAAAGCUUGACUCCAAGAGUGAAGCUCUGUGGGACCCACUUAUCAAAUAUCUGUAGGCAACACAAAAAGUAUCUUGGAUGCACAUGAACCUACCUCUACUGUAUUUUUUUUUCUCCUCUCAAAGAAACCUCCCCAAGAGCCAUCUAUAUUUUAAUAGGCAUGUCCUAAAGUAUAUUAAUAAAUCAAUGUCAUUAGUAAUGAGGUUUCAAGGCUGUGCCAACACAAGGACCCAUAAUGUGUCAACAUGACAGCUCUUAAAUCCAUUUGUAACUUUUAAUUAAAUAUGAUUUUUUUAAAUUUCCUCCCUUUGACAUGGAUUGAGAUGUGCUACCAAGAUAGGGCAUAGCAUGUGUCAUGCCAACAAGUGACUAGCGUGGGUACUGGCACUGAUACCUAAAAUUUUGAAUAACAAAGACCAUAAAAUGACCCUAUUAUCCAUGUUCAAGUCCACGUUAUUGUCAUAACAACAUCUAACAUAUUAAACACCUCAGAAAGCAUCCUAUAG